GGUUAAGCGAAUAAGCGUACACGGUGGAUGCCUAGGCAGUCAGAGGCGAUGAAGGACGUGCUAAUCUGCGAUAAGCGCCGGUAAGGUGAUAUGAACCGUUAUAACCGGCGAUUUCCGAAUGGGGAAACCCAGUGCAAUUCGUUGCACUAUCAUUACCUGAAUACAUAGGGUAAUGAAGCGAACCGGGAGAACUGAAACAUCUAAGUACCCCGAGGAAAAGAAAUCAAACGAGAUUCCCCCAGUAGCGGCGAGCGAACGGGGAGCAGCCCAGGACCUUAAUCAGCAUCAGUGUUAAGAGAACAGUCUGGAAAGGCUGGCCACAGCAGGUGAUAGCCCUGUAUCUGAAAGCACUGGUGUUGUGAGUCCGAUGAGUAAGGCGGGACACGUGUUAUCCUGUCUGAAUACGGGGGGACCAUCCUCCAAGGCUAAAUACUCCUGACUGACCGAUAGUGAACCAGUACCGUGAGGGAAAGGCGAAAAGAACCCCGGCGAGGGGAGUGAAAAAGAACCUGAAACCGUGUACGUACAAGCAGUGGGAGCACC
This 543-nucleotide ribosomal RNA is filed under the name Morganella morganii. Its description in RNAcentral is "partial 23S ribosomal RNA". It matches the Rfam family "Bacterial large subunit ribosomal RNA", at positions 1 to 583 of the family's 2925-position model. RNAcentral also lists the same sequence under 2 other names. Lineage: Bacteria; Pseudomonadati; Pseudomonadota; Gammaproteobacteria; Enterobacterales; Morganellaceae. The record is from RNAcentral.